UGGGGGAUAUUGCACAAUGGGCGAAAGCCUGAUGCAGCGACGCCGCGUGGGGGAUGAAGGCCUUCGGGUUGUAAACUUCUUUUGCUCUGAACAAGGCAUGCUAAUGGGUGUGUUGAGUGUAGGGGUUGAUUAGCGCCGGCUAACUACGUGCCAGCAGCCGCGGUAAUACGUGGGGCGCGAGCGUUGUCCGGAAUUAUUGGGCGUAAAGGGCUUGUAGGUGGCUGGUUGCGUCUGUCGUGAAAGCUCAUGGCUUAACUGUGGGUUUGCGGUGGGUACGGGCUGGCUUGAGUGCAGUAGGGGAGGCUGGAAUUCCUGGUGUAGCGGUGGAAUGCGCAGAUAUCAGGAGGAAUACCGGUGGCGAAGGCGGGUCUCUGGGCUGUUACUGACACUGAGGAGCGAAAGCAUGGGGAGCGAACAGG
This 419-nucleotide ribosomal RNA is filed under the name bacterium. RNAcentral describes it as "partial 16S ribosomal RNA". It matches the Rfam family "Bacterial small subunit ribosomal RNA", at positions 355 to 776 of the family's 1533-position model. The record is from RNAcentral.